GGGUCUUUUGGAAACAACCUAAGGUCUGCGUACACACUACCCUCCCCAGAUCCUACUAGUGGGAUUAUACUGGGUUGCUGUUGUUGUUGUUGUUGUUUGUAAUUAUGACCUAAUUCGAGCUGAUGUAUGGGUUAUGAAGGAGUAUGGGGUUAAAGAGUCUUGGAUAAAACUGUAUACCUUCAAAUACUCUAAUGGCCCAGAGAGCCAGGUGCUUUUUCCACCCAUUUGCAUGUCAAGUAAAGGUGAAAUAUUGCAUGUGUUUGAAUACUCUUUAGCGAUAUACAAUCCAAAGGAUUACUUAAUCACAUAUCCAAAGGUUACUAAUGUUGAUGACAAUCUUGAGACGGAAGCGGAACUCUACAUUGAAAGCCUGGUUUCUCCUAUUUUACAAAAUAAAUCAACAGCACAAACAUUGCAGGGUGCAAAAACCCAGGUGAAUGACAGUUGUGUAGUUUAAAGAGUGAUUCUUGGAGAACACUUGAUAACUUUCAAGGAGGGUUGUUAUUCGAUCCUUCAGCUAAGUUGGUGGAUGAGAAAUUUCACUGGGCAACUAUGGAUGGUGAUGGUUGGGGCAUUAUGUCUAUUGAUUUGGCUGAUGACAAGUAUUGGAAGAUGGAGCAACCCCUCUACGGAGAAGGAGAGUUUCAUUUGAAGCUUGGAGUGUUGGGAAGUGAUUUAUCUGUGCUCUGUAAUUAUGAGCUAACUCAGAGCUGAUGUGUGGGUUCUGAAGGAGUAUGAGGUUAAAGAAUCUCAGACAAAAUUGUAUACCAUCAACUAUCUUAAUGACCCUAAGUACUGCGUGCUUUCUCCACCCAUUUGCAUGUUAAAGAAAUCUGAAAUUUUGCAUGUGUUUGAAUCAACUUUAAUGAUAUACAAUCCAGAGGAUGACUCAAUCAGACAUCCAGUGGUUACUAACGUUGAUAGGCUUGAGGCGAAACUUUACAUUGAAAGCCGGGUUUGUCCAAUUCUACAAAAUGAACCAACGACACAACAUUGAAAGGCUGAACAACUCAGGUAACUAACUGACUGUUGUGUAGCUAACAAUUUGUAAGUGUCCGUACAUUUUUCACGUGUUGUUCAAUUCUGCUUCUUUUGUCAAAUAUGGAAAAAUGCAUUGCAUAUUCAAAGGACUAUCUUUACACCACAUCUGCUUAGAGAUUUUUGUUGUCCUAUUAUUUUUGCAUAUUUUUGAGGAACAACUUUUUACAAGAACAUUUCCCAUUGUAGUGUUUGGUGGCUUCUGCAUUCUGUAAAAGACAUUGGACAUUCUUUCAGUUUUUCAGCAGUGUUUGAAGGUUACAUGUCAUGAAUUUGUGGCUUUAGAUCCUAUGCUUCUUGUAUUACUGCAGGUGAAUUUUGAAGUUUUAUAGGGGUUGGGUCCAGAAAUGUGCGUAUGGUCUUGGCACGCGUUCAUCUUAUUUCUACAAGCAUGUUGGUGUAUCCUCUUAAUCUAUGCACUCCUGAGUUGUUUUUUCAUUUACUUUGACAUACUUUGCUUCCUUUUAUUCAACUGUUAUGAAACCUUGAUCACCUCUAGAUGUAGGAAGCAAUGAUAUCCUUUCAUCCCGUCAAUAAAAUCUUCUUCUAUGGGUCAGGAUAUCCUUGCAUGAACUUUCACAUCCUCAGAUUUAUUUUCUUUGUAAUGUAAUAAAAGGCACACGACUCGUGAGCAAACUAGAGAAUUUACAUGAAGAUUUCUCUUGGUUAUGUCUCUGUAAAAAUUGAAACUAUGGCAAACUGGUUGAUGUGUGCUCAUUUGCAUACUAACCUUUAGGGGUGUUAAAAAACUGGUGCUUAGCUCUUACAUUGCCUUAUUAAUAAGAACGACAACUUAUACUUUCAUAUUGUGAAUGAUUGCAGGUUGAUGUGUUGUAUCAUGCACGUGUGCAGGGAAGCAAACUAACAAGCUGAUGCUUUGGCAAACAACUCCACUACUACUACUACCACCACUAUAACUACUUCUACUUGUAUUAGAUGCAGUUGAUCUAUCUACUGCUAUUACCAUUGUUAUGAAUAAAUGUCCGUACUUGCUGUAAUUGUGACCAGGAGGGGCUAGUAUAUUAUAAUACCCCUCAAAUUUUGUUGUUGAUCAGGUCACUAAGGACACUCUUCGGUCUUAAGAGUCACGGGUUGUAAAAAACUAUGAUGCUACUUGAUGUAAUACUUUUUGUUUAAGCAAAGUCGAGAAAAGAAAGGAAGAAAAGCUCAUAAAUUGAAGAACAGAAGAUUAAUCUUU
This is a non-coding RNA of Nicotiana tabacum (common tobacco), 2236 nucleotides long. Lineage: Eukaryota; Viridiplantae; Streptophyta; Magnoliopsida; Solanales; Solanaceae. The record is from RefSeq and is a predicted model, not a curated record.